Long non-coding RNA from Lathyrus oleraceus (garden pea), 1305 nucleotides. RefSeq lists it as uncharacterized. NCBI's taxonomy places the organism in Eukaryota, Viridiplantae, Streptophyta, Magnoliopsida, Fabales, Fabaceae. The transcript has 2 exons. The record is from RefSeq and is a predicted model, not a curated record.
AAAUCCAUAUGGGCUUAUUAAGAAGCACAACAUUAUGGCCAAGGGAGCAAAGGGGGUGUAUUGUGAUAAAGGGUUGUUUGGAGAGAAAUCCAUGGGCUUGAUCCCUUGAAACCCAAACCACUCAUCCAAAGGGAAGGGAUCGGGCUAGGCAAAAGCAAAACGUUAAUGUUAUUCCUCUUCUUCGUGUCCAAAUCCCUUCUGAGAUCAUGUGGAACUCCGCCGCACCGAAAAUCGCCUCCGGCGGUGGUGGAGAUGCUAAUGUGUCAACACCCUUAUCAAAGAGUGUAUAUGACUUUCUCCUUCCCCAAUACCAAUUCAAUUCUUCCUAAAAACCUCUCAAUAACCUGAAUCAGAGUCAAGCCAUAAUGAACCCUAAGUAGGAAAAAUUGAAAUUAAACAAAGAACAAAGCGUGUUUCGCAUAAUAAGUUUAGGGCUUAUGUUCUAUGGAGCACAAACAAAAGGACGGUGAAGAGAAAGCGUGUCCAAUCAUCAAGAUAUGGAGAUCGGGGUUCUUACCGGUCGGAGUAGCUUCAGCAUCUCUUUAAGGUUGGUGAUGACAACAAAAUUGCAAAUAUCUUCUUCUUCUGGUGUUGUGAACAAUGUCAUUAUGUAAUGGAUAAUACUUCUAACCAGAUACAUUCUCCAAUGACUCUUUCUCUACCUCUAUAAAAGGAAGCUGGAGGUUUGAAAGAAGGUGUACAACAACAACGCAAUAGAAUAUCUUGAGCAUAACUCUGAGCUUUCAUUUGUAACUGUUAUUGCAUAAGAUCUUAAGAUUUUUUAUCCUUGUGUAUCUUAGAAAUCUUAUGAGGUUAAGAACCUUUGUGGUUGUUGCACAACUAUUAUGCUUAUGAUUGUGUAUCUAAGUAUAAAGGUUAUCUUUUCUACUAAAGUGUUUGUUUAAAGUAGAUGAUGUCUCUUGCCUGCGUGCUUGAGUAGUGAAGUCUCUAGACUGUGUACUUGAGCAGUGAAGUCUCUUUCUAGGUUGAUUGAGCAAAAGUCUCUUGCAAGGUUGCUUGAGGAGAAGUCCCUUUCUAGGUUAAUUGAGCAAGUGAAGUAUCUUGCAAGUGUGCUUGAGUAAACUGUAAUCUAUUGAUUAUAGUGAAGAGGUCGUGUUGAAACAAGGGGUCUGAACUACUCUCAAUUGAGGAGAGGAACCAGGAUACUCUUUGUGUGUUGCUUGAUUUUACUUCUGAUCAUUAUUAUUUCCGUUGUUGUUACUAUUUAUGAUAUCAGACUCUGAACGUCGUUCACAUUCUGAAGUUGCAUUAUCAGAAGGGAAAGAUUUUUUGACAUACACAAUU